This 580-nucleotide ribosomal RNA is filed under the name Scyllarus americanus. RNAcentral describes it as "partial 16S ribosomal RNA". It matches the Rfam family "Bacterial large subunit ribosomal RNA", at positions 1796 to 2644 of the family's 2925-position model. The record is from RNAcentral. Lineage: Eukaryota; Metazoa; Arthropoda; Malacostraca; Decapoda; Scyllaridae.
UCGCCUGUUUAUCAAAAACAUGUCUUUACGGGCUUAAUGUAAAGUCUGGCCUGCCCAAUGGCGUGAAGCUAAAUGGCCGCGGUAUUUUGACUGUGCGAAGGUAGCAUAAUAAUUAGUCUUUUAAUUGAAGGCUGGAAUGAAGGGUCGAACAAAAAGUUAUCUGUCUCUGAAUUAAAUCUUGAAUUUAACAUUUAAGUGAAAAGGCUUAAAUGCUUUAGGGGGACGAUAAGACCCUAUGAAUCUUUAUUUUUGGCUUAUAAAAUAAAAAAAUAAUAUCAAUUUUUGUUUUAUCGGUUUCAAUAUUUUGUUGGGGCGACGGAAGCGUAAAUUGUAACCGCUUUAUAUUAAUAGUUAACGAUAUUUAGUUAAGUGAUCCUUUAUAGAGAUAUUAGUAUAAGUUACUCUAGGGAUAACAGCGUAAUUUUCUUUGAGAGUUCAUAUCGAAAAGAAAGGUUGCGACCUCGAUGUUGAAUUAAAGAUCCUUUACGGCGCAGAAGUUGUAAAAGGAGGUCUGUUCGACCUUUAAAUCUUUACAUGAUUUGAGUUCAGACCGGCGUAAGCCAGGUUGGGUUUCUAUCUA